RNAcentral lists this small nucleolar RNA (133 nucleotides) under Drosophila mojavensis. RNAcentral's name for it is "snoRNA:GI25363". The record is from RNAcentral. Lineage: Eukaryota; Metazoa; Arthropoda; Insecta; Diptera; Drosophilidae.
GCAACUUAUACCCAUUGGUUGGUCAAAUUAUUAUUUUUUGAGACAAUUAAGAUUUAAAGUUGCCAAAUCAAAUAACGAAGUUUACCAUGUAAAUGUCUCCAAUUAUCAUUUACAAAAACAGAAGCGUUACAGA